This 497-nucleotide ribosomal RNA is filed under the name uncultured bacterium. Its description in RNAcentral is "partial 16S ribosomal RNA". It matches the Rfam family "Bacterial small subunit ribosomal RNA", at positions 28 to 507 of the family's 1533-position model. The record is from RNAcentral.
GACGAACGCUGGCGGCGUGCCUAAUACAUGCAAGUAGAACGCUGAAGAGAGGAGAUUGCUCUUCUUGGAUGAGUUGCGAACGGGUGAGUAACGCGUAGGUAACCUGCCUGGUAGCGGUGGAUAACUAUUGGAAAAGAUAGCUAAUAACGCAUAACAAGAGUUGUUGCAUGACAGCUGUUUACAAGAUGCAAUUGCAUCACUACCAGAUGGACCUGCGUUGUAUUAGCUAGUUGGUGAGGUAACGGCUCACCAAGGCGACGAUACAUAGCCUGCCUGAGAGGGUGAUCGGCCAAACUGGGAAUGGGAAACGGCCCAGACUCCUACGGGAGGCAGCAAGAGGGAAGCUUCGGACAUGGGGGGAACCCUGACCGAGCAACGCCGCGGGAGUGAAGAAGGGUAUCGGAUCGUAAAGCUCUGUUGUAAGAGAAGAACGGGUGUGAGAGUGGAAAGUUCACACUCUGACGGUAUCUUACCAGAAAGGGACGGCUAACUACGUG